UACGUAGGGGGCUAGCGUUAUCCGGAAUUACUGGGCGUAAAGGGUGCGUAGGUGGUUUCUUAAGUCAGAGGUGAAAGGCUACGGCUCAACCGUAGUAAGCCUUUGAAACUGGGGAACUUGAGUGCAGGAGAGGAGAGUGGAAUUCCUAGUGUAGCGGUGAAAUGCGUAGAUAUUAGGAGGAACACCAGUUGCGAAGGCGGCUCUCUGGACUGUAACUGACACUGAGGCACGAAAGUGCGGGGAGCAAACAGG
This 252-nucleotide ribosomal RNA is filed under the name uncultured bacterium. RNAcentral describes it as "partial 16S ribosomal RNA". It matches the Rfam family "Bacterial small subunit ribosomal RNA", at positions 524 to 776 of the family's 1533-position model. The record is from RNAcentral.